GACGAACGCUGGCGGCGUGCUUAACACAUGCAAGUCGAACGGUAAGGCCCUUCGGGGUACACGAGUGGCGAACGGGGGAGUAACACGUGGGUGAUCUGCCCUGCACUUCGGGAUAAGCCUGGGAAACUGGGUCUAAUACCGGAUAGGACCACUGCAUGCAUGGGUGGAGGUGGAAAGCGUUUGCGGUGUGGGAGGGGCCCGGGGCCUAUCAGCUUGUUGGUGGGGUGAUGGCCUACCAAGGCGACGACGGGUAGCCGGCCUGAGAGGGUGACCGGCCACACUGGGACUGAGGUACGGCCCAGACUCCUACGGGAGGCAGCAGUGGGGAAUAUUGCACAAUGGGCGCAAGCCUGAUGCAGCGACGCCGCGUGAGGGAUGACGGCCUUCGGGUUGUAAACCUCUUUCAGCACCGACGAAGCGCAAGUGACGGUAGGUGCAGAAGAAGGACCGGCCAACUACGUGCCAGCCGCCGCGGUAA
RNAcentral lists this ribosomal RNA (478 nucleotides) under uncultured bacterium. RNAcentral's name for it is "partial 16S ribosomal RNA". It matches the Rfam family "Bacterial small subunit ribosomal RNA", at positions 28 to 523 of the family's 1533-position model. The record is from RNAcentral.